Molecule: ribosomal RNA, 254 nt
Filed under: uncultured prokaryote
Description: partial 16S ribosomal RNA
Rfam family: Bacterial small subunit ribosomal RNA
Source: RNAcentral
UACGGAGGAUGCAAGCGUUAUCCGGAUUUAUUGGGUUUAAAGGGUGCGCAGGUUGUUUGAUAAGUCAGUGGUGAAAGUCUGUCGCUUAACGGUAGGAUUGCCAUUGAUACUGUUAGACUUGAAUAUGGAUGAGGUAGGCGGAAUGUGUAGUGUAGCGGUGAAAUGCAUAGAUAUUACACAGAACACCGAUUGCGAAGGUAGCUUACUAAUCCAUCAUUGACGCUGAGGCACGAAAGCGUGGGGAUCAAACAGGA